GACGAACGCUGGCGGCGUGCUUAACACAUGCAAGUCGAACGGAAAGGCCCUGCUUUUGUGGGGUGCUCGAGUGGCGAACGGGUGAGUAACACGUGAGUAACCUGCCCUUGACUUUGGGAUAACUUCAGGAAACUGGGGCUAAUACCGGAUAGGAGCUCCUGCUGCAUGGUGGGGGUUGGAAAGUUUCGGCGGUUGGGGAUGGGCUCGCGGCUUAUCAGCUUGUUGGUGGGGUAGUGGCUUACCAAGGCUUUGACGGGUAGCCGGCCUGAGAGGGUGACCGGCGACAUUGGGCCUGAGAUACGGCCCAGAAUCCUACGGGCGGCAGCAGUGGGGAAUAUUGCACAGUGGGCGGAAGCCUGAUGCGGCAACGCCGCGUGCGGGAUAACGGCCUUCGGGUUGUAAACCGCUUUCGCCUGUGACGAAGCGUGAGUGACGGUAAUGGGUAAAGAAGCACCGGCUAACUACGUG
RNAcentral lists this ribosomal RNA (468 nucleotides) under uncultured bacterium. RNAcentral describes it as "partial 16S ribosomal RNA". It matches the Rfam family "Bacterial small subunit ribosomal RNA", at positions 28 to 507 of the family's 1533-position model. The record is from RNAcentral.